Molecule: long non-coding RNA, 440 nt
Filed under: Homo sapiens (human)
Lineage: Eukaryota; Metazoa; Chordata; Mammalia; Primates; Hominidae
Description: HSALNT0249750
Source: RNAcentral
AAGAUGAUGAGUCAGACACGGAGCAGGAAUGUGAAUCACCCAACGUCAUGCUCUCACAGCUGGGGCAGGAUGACAAUGCAGCGUGGACCACUUGGUGCUACAGACGAGGCUUCUCUAUGGAGUGACAGUCAUCGCUUAUGUCCUCAGUCACCAGUGUGGAAUUAAGAGAGUGGUAGGAUUCACUUAAACAGGCGAGCAUUUCUUGGAAAAAUACUGAUACAGGUCUGAGACCCUCUGAUUUUUCUUGGAAUCCCCAGGAGUUAGCAAAAUCUGUGCAGCAGCCAUUGCAUCUUCUAGCAGGAAAGUUUCUACCAAAGACCUUUCCAGUAUCAACAUAUGAAGAAGAAGAAAGAAACUGGCUGUUACCGAUCUCACAGUCUUUCUGAUGGACAAAAGUGACAAAGCAUGAAGACUGAAGACGACAGGAAUUUUAUAUUUAG